CUUCCCCUGGGGACCAAAACUUUGGGCCCUGCCCAGACGUACCUCUCUUUGUGGCUGAGCUGUCAAGAUGCUGGGGUGCUGGGGUGCAGGCUCACGAACCUGCUCGUCUACUAGGGCACAAACCUGGAAGACUGGGAGAGGCAGAAGAAGUCCUGGUCAGGGCUCUGAGGGCCGGCAGACAGUGGGGACAGCCGUGACUCCCAAGCCCUUGGACCAGGAUGAGAGGCUGGAGGAAACAAUGACACGCUUCUAUGCUGUGCUGCGAAAGGAUCGCAGUGCGCAUGCACAACCUUCUCAGCCCUCUUCCCUGGGUGCCCAAGCGUCCCAAGACAUGGAGUGGCCUCGGAAAGAACCAAAGACACUAGCAGGCUUAGCUGACGGGGGUUUGUGGGUACUGAAUGCUCCCUGGGAAAAUGAAAACAUAGAGGCACUUUUCUCCUGGCUGUUUAUUACAGAACGAAGAAAAAACGCACUGGCUUGAAACAGACGCCAGAUUUCAAAUGUAGAGGUGAAAUACCAGGUGGCAAUUAAAAUGUGAUUACACAGA
This is a long non-coding RNA of Sus scrofa (pig), 547 nucleotides long. RefSeq lists it as uncharacterized. Lineage: Eukaryota; Metazoa; Chordata; Mammalia; Artiodactyla; Suidae. The record is from RefSeq and is a predicted model, not a curated record.